Long non-coding RNA from Ipomoea nil (Japanese morning glory), 389 nucleotides. RefSeq lists it as uncharacterized. The record is from RefSeq and is a predicted model, not a curated record. NCBI's taxonomy places the organism in Eukaryota, Viridiplantae, Streptophyta, Magnoliopsida, Solanales, Convolvulaceae. The transcript is spliced from 3 exons.
GGACACCAUCUCUCUUUAUGUUCACUCUCUAUUUCCCUUCUCUUUACCAUAAAUCACUUUGUGGAUUUUUCUAGGUAUCAUCACUAACUAACCAUAUGCGACGGAGGAUGAUCCGAGUGCCUUCCGGGCCGACGAGGUGUACGAUUUCUCUGCCCCGAGAUCCUGCGACUUCGCUCACGGAGUCACGGUGAGUCUGAGGAAGAUGCAACCAAGGCUGAGCUCUAGUUCAAGAUGAAGCAACCUUUCUUGUUCAAUCACUACUCAUCGACAGUACUGCCGAGUAAGAUGCUGCUUUGGCACAGCUUGAGUUAGAGAAGAGAUUGGCUUUGAUCAAAGAUUGGGAAGAGAAUGAGAAAGAUAAAGCUGAUAACAAGUAUGAUUCCCCUCCC